RNAcentral lists this ribosomal RNA (505 nucleotides) under uncultured bacterium. Its description in RNAcentral is "partial 16S ribosomal RNA". It matches the Rfam family "Bacterial small subunit ribosomal RNA", at positions 28 to 507 of the family's 1533-position model. The record is from RNAcentral.
GACGAACGCUGGCGGCGUGCCUAAUACAUGCAAGUAGAACGCACAGUUUAUACCGUAGCUUGCUACACCAUAGACUGUGAGUUGCGAACGGGUGAGUAACGCGUAGGUAACCUGCCUGGUAGCGGGGGAUAACUAUUGGAAACGAUGGCUAAUACCGCAUAAUAUUAAUUAUUGCAUGAUAAUUAAUUGAAAGGUGCAAUUGCACCACUACCAGAUGGACCUGCGUUGUAUUAGCUAGUAGGUGAGGUAACGGCUCACCUAGGCGACGAUACAUAGCCGACCUGAGAGGGUGAUCGGCCACACUGGGACUGAGACACGGCCCAGACUCCUACGGGAGGCAGCAGUAGGGAAUCUUCGGCAAUGGACGAAAGUCUGACCGAGCAACGCCGCGUGAGUGAAGAAGGGUUUCGGAUCGUAAAGCUCUGUUGUAAGAGAAGAACGGGGGUGAGAGUGGAAAGUUCACACUGUGACGGUAUCUUACCAGAAAGGGACGGCUAACUACGUG